RNAcentral lists this non-coding RNA (29 nucleotides) under Mus musculus (house mouse). Lineage: Eukaryota; Metazoa; Chordata; Mammalia; Rodentia; Muridae. The record is from RNAcentral.
UGAUAUGAUGUUUUGGUCAAUGGUCUAUC